Molecule: ribosomal RNA, 394 nt
Filed under: uncultured bacterium
Lineage: Bacteria
Description: bacterial SSU rRNA
Rfam family: Bacterial small subunit ribosomal RNA
Source: RNAcentral
UCGGGAAUUUUGGGCAAUGGGCGAAAGCCUGACCCAGCAACGCCGCGUGAGGGAUGAAGUAUUUCGGUAUGUAAACCUCGAAAGAAUGGGAGGAAUAAAUGACGGUACCAUUUAUAAGCUCCGGCUAACUACGUGCCAGCAGCCGCGGUAAUACGUAGGGAGCAAGCGUUGUUCGGAUUUACUGGGCGUAAAGGGCGCGUAGGCGGCGCGGUAAGUCACUUGUGAAAUCUCUGAGCUUAACUCAGAACGGCCAAGUGAUACUGCUGUGCUAGAGUGCGGAAGAUGCCAGCGUAAUUCUUGGUGUUGCGGUGAAAUGCGUAGAUAUCAAGAGCAUCACCUGAGGCGAAGGCGGGUUGCUGGGCCGACACUGACGCUGAUGCGCGAAAGCCAGGGG